GAUUGUUUGAUCCUGGCUCAGAAUGAACGUUGGCGGCGUGCCUAACACAUGCAAGUCGAGCGUGAAAGUCAUUCGGGAUGAGUAAAGCGGCAGACGGGUGAGUAACGCGUGAGAAUUUUCCUUUCAGUGAAGAAUACCUUUGGGAAACUAAAGUUAAUACUGCAUACGUCUCGAAAGAGAGAAAGAUGGCCUAAUUGCUGUCGCUGAAAGAUAAGCUUGCGUUCUAUUAGUUAGUUGGUGAGGUAAUUGCUCACCAAGGCGAUGAUGGAUAGCCGGCCUGAGAGGGCGAACGGCCACAUUGGAACUUAGACACGGUCCAAACUCCUACGGGAGGCAGCAGUGAGGAAUAUUGCACAAUGGGCGAAAGCCUGAUGCAGCGACGCCGCGUGGAGGAUGACGGUCUUCGGAUUGUAAACUCCUGUUAAGUGUGAAAAAAGACUUGUUUUUAAUAGAAACAAGGGAUGAUGGUAGCGCUAGAGAAAGCACCGGCUAACUUCGUGCCAGCAGCCGCGGUAAUACGAGGGGUGCAAACGUUAUUUGGAAUCACUGGGCGUAAAGGGUGCGUAGACGGCGAAUCAAGUCAAUUAUUAAAUCUCCUGGCUUAACCAGGAAUCUGUAGUUGAGACUGAUUUGCUUGAGGAUGGAAGAGAGAAGUGGAAUUCUCGGAGUAGCGGUAAAAUGCGUAGAUCUCGAGAGGAACACCGAUGGCGAAGGCAGCCUCUUGGUCCAUUUCUGACGUUGAGGCACGAAAGCGUGGGGAGCAAACAGGAUUAGAUACCCUGGUAGUCCACGCUGUAAACGAUGAUUACUAGAUGUUAGGUCCGCUUUAGGGCUUAGUAUCGCAGCUAACGCAUUAAGUAUCCG
This 864-nucleotide ribosomal RNA is filed under the name uncultured bacterium. RNAcentral describes it as "bacterial SSU rRNA". It matches the Rfam family "Bacterial small subunit ribosomal RNA", at positions 9 to 871 of the family's 1533-position model. The record is from RNAcentral.